GUGCCGGUUGUUGCUCACCAGUUUUCCUUCAGGAGAUUUUGAUGUGGCAUAUGUCAGUCAAAAGCUGAAAAGGGUCACUCACGUGUGGGCCAGUGUGUCAGAUAAAUAUUGUAUGUGCAUGUAAGCAUGAGAGCUAACU
Long non-coding RNA from Hippocampus zosterae (dwarf seahorse), 139 nucleotides. RefSeq lists it as uncharacterized. NCBI's taxonomy places the organism in Eukaryota, Metazoa, Chordata, Actinopteri, Syngnathiformes, Syngnathidae. The record is from RefSeq and is a predicted model, not a curated record. The transcript has 2 exons.